Molecule: ribosomal RNA, 497 nt
Filed under: uncultured bacterium
Lineage: Bacteria
Description: partial 16S ribosomal RNA
Rfam family: Bacterial small subunit ribosomal RNA
Source: RNAcentral
GAUGAACGCUGGCGGCGUGCCUAAUACAUGCAAGUCGAGCGAACAGACGAGGAGCUUGCUCCUCUGACGUUAGCGGCGGACGGGUGAGUAACACGUGGAUAACCUACCUAUAAGACUGGGAUAACUUCGGGAAACCGGAGCUAAUACCGGAUAAUAUAUUGAACCGCAUGGUUCAAUAGUGAAAGACGGUUUUGCUGUCACUUAUAGAUGGAUCCGCGCCGCAUUAGCUAGUUGGUAAGGUAACGGCUUACCAAGGCAACGAUGCGUAGCCGACCUGAGAGGGGGAUCGGCCACACUGGAGCUGAGACACGGUCCAGACUCCUACGGGAGGCAGCAGUAGGGAAUCUUCCGCAGUGGGCGAAAGCCUGACGGAGCGACGCCGCGUGAGUGAUGAAGGUCUUCGGAUCGUAAAACUCUGUUAUUAGGGAAGAACAAAUGUGUAAGUAACUAUGCACGUCUUGACGGUACCUAAUCAGAAAGCCACGGCUAACUACGUG